AUAGGAUUUUCCCCCCUGCCAUUAGGGUUCCAUUUCAGUUCUGCUAGGGUUUUUCCCCUUUGAAGAGUCAUUUCCUCUUGGGUUGGAUUCCUGAUUUAGCCGUUUUCAUCUCCUGCAUGAACCAUGUUAUCCUUCCCAUUAACUGUUACUGGUUCAUCGUCUUCUACAGACUUUUUUCACAACCCCAAACGUGAAGUACACCAGGCAAGGGUUUCAUCUCAUUUCUCUCAUGCGUUUAAAUCCUUCAAUCAAGGGUUUCAUCUCAUUUCUCUCAUGGGUUUAAAUCCUUCAAUCAAGGGUUUCAAUCUGAUUUUGGGGUUUUCAUUCCCUCUCUGCAAUCCCUCCACGCUUCUCCCAAAACUGCUUUUGUUGACCUCAAAACCACUUUUCCCAACCCCCAAACUACCUUCUCUCCCCUUUCAAUACCCUAGCCUAGCUUGCUCCCUCCGAAUUGAAGAAAGAGAAGUGGUUUUCUUCUGAUUAUUUGAUCUCUUCCUCAAUCCAUCAUCAAAAUCUUUGUAUCUAGUUUCAGAGACAUUCAAUCCGGUUUUCGUCAUUGGAUUUGAGGUGGACGACAGUUUUCCAUUAAAAGUCCUUGUUCUUGAAUUCAUACUCGGAAUCUGUUGACAAAAUCUCUGUAUCUGAUAUUUGUGAUUUUUAAUCUAGUUUUUGGCUUCCUUUUUACAUCUGGAGGUGGUUUUUACUAUUGGAUUUGAAUUGGAAAUUAGGUUUUCUAUAUUGAGUUCUGGUUCUUGAAUUUCUCACCCGAAGGCUAUUGCCGUUUUCUUGAGUGGAUUCCUUGAACAGAGGAGUACUCAGAAGAUGUGGAAUUUCAAGAUAGAGGCAUUUAAGCAACGAGUAGAGUUGGACCUGAAAUAUGCAGAGAAGACAUGGAAGAUUUUAGAGCACGCGAUCCAUGAGAUGUACAAUCACAAUGCCAAUGGGCUCAACUUUGAGCUAGUCGUGCUAUGGAACCUUUUUCAGAUUUCGUUGUGGGUCAUGGAGAGUUAUGGGUUGCCCAAAUGUUGUCAUCAGUAAAAAAAAAAAAAAAGGUGCAGUGGUUGCAUAACGAUUUUAGAAAGUGUAUAAAGGUUUUUAAAGGUUGCGAGUGUACAACGAUUCUGUGUCUUUUUUGGUGCAACGAAGAAUGAAUUGCAACUGGAUGGACACAAGGGUGUCCUUAUUUUAAAUCCUACCAAUUCCAAUCAAGUGGAUCUUGAUUACUCAGAAUCUCAGAAGAGACUUGACAAGUGGAUCCUGAUUUCUCGGAUCGUCUGAUCAGUGUGAUUUCAGGCUAUGAUCCAUCCACAAUGGGGACCUUCAUUUAGACGUCUCAAUCAGCAUGCACAUAUGUAAUGUGUACCAUGAAUGAGCUACCAUGGGUUAAUACAUUGCAAAAAGUGCUGGAGCCUAACCCUUUCAUCAAGAUUUUUGCAACAAUUAAUAGGCAUCUUUUUUCUACAGUUAGUGAGGUUGUGAUAUUGAUGAACUGGAAUGGCCGGUGUUCCUGGUACUGCCAGUGCCAUUUUUGGUGCUGUUAAAGAUGCUGGAGCUAAUGUUAUCAUGAUAUCUCAGGCCAGUAGCAGCGACCACUCUGUAUGCUUUGGAUGCUGGACGUCUUUAUCAGGUACUCUAGUUUGAAUUACAUCAAUAGCUUGGGGUCAUCUUAGGAUUUCAUGGAAUAAUUGAUUCUUCUGCAAAACUGUCAAUCGUUGCUGCUUACUCUAGCAAUCUAUUUCUGUUAUUCAUCACAUGUUACAGCAAUUAGAAGAACUCCGUUUAUUUAGAGUGUUGGGCUUGAAUGUGUGGGUUAAUGCAGGGGGGUUGGAAUGGAGCCGGAUGCCACACUAGCUACAGCCAAUGCUUGAGUAUGUGAGGCUGGCUGGACAAUCGUUCAGCUGCCAGUUAAAUCGUUAUUCAAUCAUCACUUGGGACUGAACGGUAUCUGAUCAAACUUUUUUUUCUUCUUUUUUAUUUAUUUUUAUUUUUUAUUGUGGCAUUUGACGGAUGCAAAUAUGAAUGAGUUAAGCAAUGAUUUUCCAGUACAGGAGUCUCUACGUACUCCCAGCCUACAAAGUUCCAUCCAUGCUAUUGGUUUGGUUUUGUUGAGUUCAGAAUGUGUUAUUUCUGUUUUCUGUUUUGAAUUGACUUGGAUUUAUGGGAUGUUUGGUUUUGAUAUUAUGCAUUUUUAUCUGUUUUUAUUAUAUUUAUUGGCCAUCUAUUAUUUCGCAGUUUUAGGCUAAGUUUGUUUUUUGUUUUUUUUUUUUAAUGACUUGUGCUUGAUUUUGGUAUUCUGCACUGCAAUAUCAGAAAUUAUUUCUAUUCUUUAUAGUACUUAUCUUGCAUUGAUGUAGCUAUGGUCUUGUUUGAUUAUAUCGAUCAAGGCUAUCUUCUUAGUGUUUUUUUUUUGAAAGAUAAGGCUAUCUUCUUGAUUAAGGUGUUCUUCUCUAAAAUUUGAACCGUCUGCAUUUUACUUAAUGGAUCGCUUGAUCUUGACAUUCUGCAUUUUGAUUAUUAGAAUCCUUUCUCAUCCCUGAAGUUUCCAUCUUGUCAGUGGCCACUCUUCUUGAAUCUGUAAUGGCACUUGAUAUGUUACAUUGUGUGUGUCCGAUACAAGUAGCUGCUUCAUGUUUAACUACAUUAUGCAGGCUUCUUACCUUAAUUGUGGCCAUCCAUUAGCAUUUGACCUUUACUUCUCUAUGGAUUCUUUGGAUUUUGUUGUUAUGGAGGUCUCUUUAUGAUUCUGUUGGCAUUAAGCAUUAUUUUCUUGCACUAAAAGCAUCUGGGUUUUUAUGGU
This is a long non-coding RNA of Magnolia sinica, 2797 nucleotides long. RefSeq lists it as uncharacterized. The record is from RefSeq and is a predicted model, not a curated record. Lineage: Eukaryota; Viridiplantae; Streptophyta; Magnoliopsida; Magnoliales; Magnoliaceae. The transcript has 5 exons.